RNAcentral lists this long non-coding RNA (222 nucleotides) under Manihot esculenta (cassava). Its description in RNAcentral is "long non-coding RNA (MESC_LNC009516)". Lineage: Eukaryota; Viridiplantae; Streptophyta; Magnoliopsida; Malpighiales; Euphorbiaceae. The record is from RNAcentral.
CAAGGUCCGACCUCACUGAUCCAACACCCUCAGCCACUUCAGAGAUAAUCCUGGGACCCUCUUCCGUCCCCUCGUUAGAAGUACCUUGAGGCCGGGGGGCUUGUAUAGACUGAUGAGCCGAGCUCGACCUCCCGUGGCUGGAAGGCCGGGACGACCUGCUGCGUCGAGAGCUGGGCUUAGAAGCCCGAGAAGAGACCGGAGGAGGAGGUGGAGGUCGAAUAG